GAGGCUGACCCAAGCUCAGGAGAGGUGCUUGCUCCAUGCGGACGUGUACUGCCCAUGCUUCAGCGCUAGCAGGGUUUGCCAGGGAGCAAAGGACACCUCCACUUUCACCCCUGCACUUCUGACAAAGCUUGUCUGUGGCACGUUACCUCCUGAGGCCCGAAGCUCUGCAACUGCCCAGUGAAAACUGUUUGUUUCCAGGUGGAAUCUACACAGAAUGCAGCCUAUGUGGCCAACUUUCUGUUUUGGUGUCUGGAAAAGGAAAACCACAAAUAUCCAUGCUUUUCUUUGACUCCUAGCAACAGUGCUCAGUGUUGUGAAUAAAACCACCCUGAAGCUCUGCAGGAAGUACAGGAGGAAGACAAGCCGUUGGGCUAAUUUACAAGCUUUUCCUGCUCUAGAAACAGUUCUGAAGUGCUCCUCAGCAUCCCCUGUGCUGCUAAAUUACUUGCGGCUGCUGCAGCAACAGGAGCGUUCUGGUGGAAGUCUCUGCCAGCCAGGCGGCGCACACAGCACCGCAGCCCAGCUCCCCGCUCGCCAUGGGCACCGAGCUGUGCUCCUUUGCCUCCCGGCCAGGAUCAGCCGCUCCUUACAGCUGUAGGCCGGCUCCCGUGAGACACCGCUCCGGCAUCCCCAGGCAGGCAGCAUGGCGGGCAGGACGGGCCCUGUGGCUUGUAAAAGCUUUGAGGCGCCUGCCUUGCAAAGCCAUGGGAGCCCGCAGAGCACCCUUGCAGACUCAAUACUGGUGACCCAUUAAUAGCCAGAUCAAAAAAAAAGCCUUUUCCUCAUGCACCAGCCAGCAACAGCAACUGUGUCUGCACCAUCCUCAGAGCUGCAGCACACACAGCAAAGCACACCCACCAGCCCAGCCUUAAGAGCACUCUCCAGUAUCCCCUCCACAUAGCGCAGCUCACAGCUCUUGCACACAUCUGUAAGGAGCUACGCUCUUCCUGUACACCAGACACUUCUUGGACGAGGGAUUUUCAGAGGCCCCAGCUCAGCAAGCUGACAUCAUGUGCCUGAUGUUGCCAAACAAGGAAGAGCUGUUGCUAGAACAAUCAAUUUUUAAAAAUCUCUGACUGUUACCCUUAGUCCUGCAG
Long non-coding RNA from Cygnus olor (mute swan), 1097 nucleotides. RefSeq lists it as uncharacterized. The transcript is spliced from 3 exons. Lineage: Eukaryota; Metazoa; Chordata; Aves; Anseriformes; Anatidae. The record is from RefSeq and is a predicted model, not a curated record.